Molecule: ribosomal RNA, 114 nt
Filed under: Clostridium butyricum
Lineage: Bacteria; Bacillati; Bacillota; Clostridia; Eubacteriales; Clostridiaceae
Description: partial 16S ribosomal RNA
Rfam family: Bacterial small subunit ribosomal RNA
Source: RNAcentral
AGUUCGUGAGCUAACGCGUAAGCGAGGCAGCGACCUAAGGUAGGGUCAGCGAUUGGGGUGAAGUCGUAACAAGGUAGCCGUAGGAGAACCUGCGGCUGGAUCACCUCCUUUCUA